AUGGCCCAUGCAAGAGGCAUCCUCCUCCCCACGUACUGCCUGAUCAGCUGCUACCUUUUUCUAGCCGCCUACACAGCUCCUCGGGCCGCCGCACUAUCCUUCGACUACGACUUCACCAUCCCGACGGACCACGAGCAGCUCAACUUCAUCAACGCGUCCUACGCCGGCAGGGACCGCCUCAUCCUCACCGACGACAUCUCCAACCUCACCGGCGGCGUCACGCACCGGCAGCCAGUGCGCCUGUGGGACGGCGCCGGCAGGAGGGCCAGCUUCACCACCAGCUUCCACUUCGCCAUCGUCCAUGGCGACAACACAACGGACAACUCCAGACGGGGGGGCGGCACUAUGUCGUUCUUCAUCGGGCCUUUCCCGCCGCCGGGCUGGGAGGUCGGCCUCCUCGGGCUCUUCAGCCACAAGAACAGCACCGGCGCCGGCGACUCGCGGCACACCCUCGGCGUGGAGUUCGACACGCGCCGGAACGACGACGGCUGGGACCCCUCCAGCGAGGACGGCACCGCCAGCAGAGGCGACCACAUCGGCAUCGACGUCAACGGCACCAGGUGUAACCUGACCAGAAGCCUGCCGCCGUUGAGCCUCCGUGGCACCUUGUGGGCGAGCAUCACGUACGACGCCGAGUCCAAGGUGAUGAAAGUGGUGCUUCGGAAAACUGAGCUGGCGGCGGAGUCGAGCAUGACCUACGAGUUCAACGCGACGAUGGAUCUCAGGGACGACGCCGGCCUUGUGCAGGAUGCCGCCGUCGGGUUCACGGCGGCCACGGGACUCCUCAGCCAGUCGCACCAGCUGCUCGCUUGGAAGUUCUCGUACUCUGAGCUAGUAGUGGUGACGGAUAACUUCUCCAAGGAUAGGAAAAUUGGCAAGGGAUCCUUUGGCGAUGUGUACAGAGGGCGGCUAACAAUGCCGGACCUACGGGCGGUGGCGGUGAAGGAGAUGCGGCAGCCGACGUCGAAGAGGAACCAGAAGAACUAUGUGCACGAGAUCGAGACCUUGUGCCAGCUGCGCCACAAGAACCUCUUGUCACUCAUCGGUUGGUGCGACGACAAUGGUCGGCUGUUGCUUGUCUAUGAGCUCGAACCCAACGGUAGCCUCAGCGACCAUCUCCACGUCAGCGGCGACGGUGGGGGGACAUUGACAUGGCCACAGAGGUACAAUAUCCUUCUCGGCGUCGCAACCGCCAUCGACUACCUCCACAAUGGCGCCUACGACUCGGCCAGGAGGUACGUGCUACACCGGGAUAUCAAGCCUAGCAACGUGAUGCUCGGAGAGGGCUUCGAGGCCAAGCUCGGUGACUUUGGGCUCGUGCGGCAAGUCAGCUGCCACGAUGGCGUAUGUACUCCUUGUACCACCGUGAUUGGGAGCAUGGACUACAUGGACCCCAGGUACAUCGAGACCGGCACGCUGAGCCCAGCCUCUGAUAUAUAUAGCUUUGGGUUGGUUCUGCUGGAGGUAGCCACCGGUGUCAGACCAGUCGUCCCAGGAAGGGCAUCGAACCGAAACAACCUCAUCGCCGCCGUUAGGGAGUCUUAUAGCAGGGACGCCAUCCUUGAGAUGCUAGAUGAGCGGAUGAGAGGGGAUUUGGAGCAGUGGCGGUGGCAGAUGGAGCGUGUCAUGUCAACCGGCCUGAUGUGUGUCGAGCAAGAGCGUGAAAAGCGGCCAUCCAUCAAAGAUGUCAUCAACUUGCUCUCCAAGCAUGAGCAAUCUCUGAUAUCCGUUUGGGACAUGAAAGAUUCUUCAAUGAGGACGAAGGAUCGAUGUCGUUCCAUACUAGCUAGCAAGGUUGGCUUUGCAAAUGCAAGGGCAUCAUCUUUAGCGUAUUGA
This 1836-nucleotide ribosomal RNA is filed under the name Triticum aestivum (bread wheat). RNAcentral describes it as "partial small subunit ribosomal RNA". The record is from RNAcentral. Lineage: Eukaryota; Viridiplantae; Streptophyta; Magnoliopsida; Poales; Poaceae.